GGGGGCGAUUAGGAUUCGACGGAGUUCUAAAAGCCAGCAGAAGCAUGCCGAGGGGGUGACCACCCUCGUAAAUCCCAGUCACAACCCAAUAGUUGCCAACGACGACAACUACGCUCUCGCCGCCUAAACACCGGUAGAAAGCCAUCUGACCAGUUCGUGCCUGCGCGUCUGGCCUCAGGUGUCAACCUUCGCAGGCUCGCAGCACCGUCCGUUUGGCGCGAUACUGUCAAAUCACAGCCAAACUCGCCCCAUCGUCCUGGCCUUUGGGCUGAUGGCAGGCUAAAUCAAUAAAAGGUGCUAAGCAUGUAGCGUCUGCGGCGGCGGUUCGCCGGACGGGGGUUCAAUUCCCCCCGCCUCCACCA
This 362-nucleotide transfer-messenger RNA is filed under the name Pseudomonadales. Its description in RNAcentral is "GM7GCV1 sp014323765 Standard tmRNA". It matches the Rfam family "transfer-messenger RNA". From Rfam's summary of the family: Bacterial tmRNA, also known as 10Sa RNA or SsrA, is named for its dual tRNA and mRNA-like properties. Its role is to liberate the mRNA from a stalled ribosome. To accomplish this part of the tmRNA is used as a reading frame that ends in a translation stop signal. RNAcentral also lists the same sequence under 1 other name. Lineage: Bacteria; Pseudomonadati; Pseudomonadota; Gammaproteobacteria. The record is from RNAcentral.